This 405-nucleotide long non-coding RNA is filed under the name Mastacembelus armatus (zig-zag eel). RNAcentral's name for it is "lncRNA (ENSMAMG00000027264.1)". The record is from RNAcentral. Lineage: Eukaryota; Metazoa; Chordata; Actinopteri; Synbranchiformes; Mastacembelidae.
CCCCACUUCGGUGUCCCGCUUGCUACCCUGUCUCUACUCAUAUAUAAGCAGAGACUGGGCAUGAGUCUGUUGUUCUUCUGGUCGAACUGGGUGACUCUGCAGACUCUGUGGGAGCUGUCACUGUGGAAAAAUCCUGUGUCUUCUCAUCGCCCAUCUCUUAUCUCUUGACAGAUUUUUUAAACUCCUCCACCAUGAAACAGUCGUGGUAAACAGCUCUACCUCUAGCUGGGACGUCCUGCCCAGUAACCGGCCUGCUACCAUGCCCAGGAUUAGGGAGACAGAGAAAGCGAAAGUGAAAAAACAGGACAUGGCUCUGAACUCGACAUGUGAAGCAGAAAAGAAAGAGGAGCCUUUGUCACUUCAGACUGAGCCCUAGCUGACAACUCAGUCAACGUCAGGCCCCAG